This is a non-coding RNA of Ictidomys tridecemlineatus (thirteen-lined ground squirrel), 405 nucleotides long. Lineage: Eukaryota; Metazoa; Chordata; Mammalia; Rodentia; Sciuridae. The record is from RefSeq and is a predicted model, not a curated record.
CUGGAAUGUGUUUUAAAGCCCAGCUAUCACUUCCACAUGUCCUGCCCCUUCCCACCCACGGAGGACCACCUGCCUGCUCCUCCACUGGAGAAACUACCAAGGACAGAAAUUCGCUGGAAAUAGAGUGUCUUCUUGUACUUUAUACUACCAGUGAACAGUGCAAUACGUCCCUUUAAAAUCACAUAAAUCAAAUACAGUGCAGUGAAAAUUGCUAGAACUUUCUAACCACCUGUGAGCAUUUUCUUUUGGUUAUUAUAAAUUCAGAAAAUUGAUUUUAAAAAAGAGGUCUGGAUGUGAGAACUUCAUAAGGAAGAGGAAGGGGGAAGUAACAUAGACAGAAAGUAAAGAAAGAGAAAGCUGGAGUGAUUAACAAGAAACAUUAAGAAGGAAAUAAAAAUUUCUAAA